AUACGGAGGAUCCGAGCGUUAUCCGGAUUUAUUGGGUUUAAAGGGUGCGCAGGCGGCCAUUUAAGUCAGCGGUUAAAUCGUGGGGCUCAACCCCAUUCUGCCGUUGAUACUGGGUGGCUUGAUUGCGGUCGAGGUUGGCGGAAUUCGUUGUGUAGCGGUGAAAUGCAUAGAUAUGACGAAGAACACCGAUUGCGUAGGCAGCUGACCAGACCGCAAAUGACGCUCAUGCACGAAAGUGCGGGGAUCGAACAGGAUUAGAUACCCUGGUAGUCCGCACAGUAAACGAUGAAUACUUGUUUUCGGCGAUAUAAUGUCGGAGGCAAAGCGAGAGCGAUAAGUAUUCCACCUGGGGAGUACGCCGGCAACGGUGAAACUCAAAUGAAUUGACGGGG
Molecule: ribosomal RNA, 392 nt
Filed under: uncultured bacterium
Lineage: Bacteria
Description: partial 16S ribosomal RNA
Rfam family: Bacterial small subunit ribosomal RNA
Source: RNAcentral